Molecule: long non-coding RNA, 665 nt
Organism: Dreissena polymorpha
Lineage: Eukaryota; Metazoa; Mollusca; Bivalvia; Myida; Dreissenidae
Exons: 3
Source: RefSeq, a predicted model, not a curated record
CUGUUUACUUUGGUGAAUAUCAGUAUCUGCGGUAGCAGUGUUUGUUUGUUCAAGGGUUUUUGAUAUUUUAAGUAGCAAGACUUUGUGAUACUGGGGUUGAUACAAUGUGAUAUGGCUGUCAAAUCUGUACACAUUUCAGUUUGUUUUAACUAUGAGGUUACAUGAUAGCGCCCAGUGGGGCUUUAAAAAUGUCUUGAAUGGAAACUUUUCAAACAGGAAGUUUAGAAUCCCUUAAUAAGCAGCGAGUUUAACUGUCAUCUUAAGUGGACAUAUAAUAUUAAAAGUUUCAGUAAAGUAAGUCUUGGAUAUACGGUACGUGUUUACAAGUGUGAGUGUGUUUGUAGUAGACAUCUCUGCGUAGUUUGUUUAACACGGAAGCUUACACCCGGUGCCUGGCGUCAGCGUGGCUGUUGUUACUGCUACUUUGUCAUCAAGUCCUCUCGGCACCAACGCAACAACGAGCUAGCGCCCCUGAGUGGAAGAAGUUCUUUGUGUCUCAACGUACGGCCAUUGUCAAUGACAGCACGAAACUCUUCUGCAAGGUGAAAGGCACGCCCCGCCCAUUUAUCGAGUGGUUUAAAAAUGGGGAAGCACUUGCGGAUGGCAAGCGAUGAUGCCACGCCCCCCUUGAGUAUGACGAUACUGAUCCCUUUAGUUCUGUAGCA